RNAcentral lists this ribosomal RNA (442 nucleotides) under bacterium FCS017. Its description in RNAcentral is "bacterial SSU rRNA". It matches the Rfam family "Bacterial small subunit ribosomal RNA", at positions 28 to 458 of the family's 1533-position model. The record is from RNAcentral.
GAUGAACGCUGGCGGCGUGCCUAACACAUGCAAGUCGAGCGGAGUUAUGAGAGGUGCUUGCACCACUUUUAACUUAGCGGCGGACGGGUGAGUAACACGUGAGUAACCUGCCCUCGAGUGGGGAACAACAUCGAGAAAUCGGUGCUAAUACCGCAUAAUAUCUCUUUGCCGCAUGACAGAGAGAUCAAAGGAUUUAUUCGCUUGAGGAUGGACUCGCGUCCGAUUAGUUAGUUGGUGAGGUAACGGCCCACCAAGACAUCGAUCGGUAGCCGAACUGAGAGGUUGAUCGGCCACAUUGGGACUGAGACACGGCCCAGACUCCUACGGGAGGCAGCUAGUGGGGAAUAUUGGGCAAUGGGCGAAAGCCUGACCCAGCAACGCCGCGUGAAGGAUGAAGGUCUUCGGAUUGUAAACUUCUUUGAUCAGGACGAAACAAAUGACG